AGAAACAACAACCCUAGACUGCAACGGGUAUUCAACCUGAAUACCAUGACCCGAUUAGGGAAGGAACAACAACCCUCAAUAGAGAACUACUGCUAAACAAGCUACCCCACAGGAGACGACAUGCAGAACCAAGAAUGGCAAGAAACACAAAGGAUAUCCCAACUUUUGACACCAUGAAUGGUUUAGAUACCAACUGAAGAAAAAGGGAAACCUCUUCACUACUGUCAUCUCUGAAUCUACAUGGUCUCAGACGAUUGAUUUAAGCCUCAGGCCAAGGGAUACAGGAACCUUCAGAGCAUCAUAGAUUUAGCGGAGGAAGGAAGUGGCAUAGCUCAUUGGCGAAAGAAGAGAAGUAAAGAACAAAGAGACUACAUCUUUAUUAUUCUCAUUAUUCUAUGAAAUAAAAGUUUGCACAUUUAUAUAUAAUGAUCUCUUAUAACUACUCUAGUUAAUUAGGAAUAUAAAACCUGUUAUAAUUACUUUACUAAUUAGGAAUACAAAUCAUAUCUAUUUAGGAAGAUAAUCCUAUACUAAAUAGGAAUAUAACUAAAUACAAAUAUUGACUUUAUAUAACACUCUCCCUUAAAAUUUACACCAAUUCCAACAAAGUCCUUGUAGAAUUUUCUUUUUAUAGUCCUUAGCUAAUUUGUUCACAUGGAAAAAUUUGAGAUGGGAAUGUAAAUGUCAUCCAGUGGUGAUAAACAAUAGAGGACUUAAUUCAAUAAAAUUGAAAAGCUGGAAGACUUGAUUGCAGAAAUCAAAGGUUAAAAGCUCAAACAUUAUACAAGAAAACACUUCAAGUUUGAGGGAAAAUUUUGACAUUUUCUAUUUGACAACAGUGUCAUUGAUGACCAUGACUAAGACACACUUCAGACAGGAUACCUUCAUAAAUAGCAGUUAUUGAAAAUUUAAGAACUUCUAAUAGUAUUUUUCACUAUUGCAUUCUAUUUUGCAACAAAUGCUAAUUUUUGUACCAAUUGCCGAUCGAAAUUUCUUGCAUAGGUUGGUGUUUCACAGAAUCCUGUAUCAUCUAAUAGCAGAGAGUUUUGACCUGAAGCUGUGAAAUUGAACCUUCUACCAUCCCAGUUGUCUAUUGGGGUGCUGCAAGAAAUUGGACGGAGAUGUAACUCGAACGUACAGAUGGGUUCAGGCCUUGAUGAUGGCUUUCUUGGUUUAUUUUUUCUUGGGCUUACCAAAUUGCAUCCUAUGUGCAGGUGGAGUUCAGGUCUGUUGCAAGCACCGCUAAGGAUUUGCAAUUUUCUGUUGAGGUUUUGUUCACUGGUGAAAAGAUAGGUGUUGGAAUGGGUAAGACCAGGAAGGAUGCACAUCAGCAAGCUGCUGAGAAUGCCCUUCACAGCUUGGCAGAAAAAUAUGUUGCAUAUGUCGCACCUCAUUCUGGAGCUGUAGACCAUGAUUUCGAUAAGCUUUCCCUUGGGAAUGAGAAUGGAUUUCUAUGGGACAUUGUCAAUCCUGGAACAAGUGACGUCGUGCCAGAAGAUGGAUUGCCUAAAGAAUGUACUCCUGAGGUGGGAAUUUUUCAAUGAUGCUCUCAAUAGUUGAUUUGAUUUAUUUUUUCAAAAACAUAGGUGAUGCUUGGAUAAAGGGUAUGUGGGCAAGAAAUUUCCAGAUGAGAGGUAGUGGUUAUCUGGACAGAAACCACUCCUUUAAUGGAUUUUGGCAUUUUGCAAUGCACCAAGAUGCGGGAGCAAAAACAGUUAAGGGAGUGAGCUGGCUUCAUGUCUGCUAUUGAUGCCUUAUGCAGGCUCCAUUUAUUCCUGUUUAAAGGAUACUGAAGUUGAACCUGCAAUAACUUCGUCUAAUUUUGUCAAUCAGCAACAACAGAAGCGUGCCAACUCCCCUCGAUUGCUACAGUCUGUUCCGAGUAAAAGAACAAAGGAAGAAUUAGCGCGUGGUUCGCAAAGUCUUCCAUUUUCACGGCAGCAGAAGAAUGGAAAUCAUGUUUCAUGAAAGCAAUGAAAAAAGAAGUGGUGACUGACUGAAGGUUUUUUGAGUUCUACAAUUCUGCAAUAUUUUAUUUAUGCAGAUUCUACGUAAUUGCAGUUAGCUUAGGUCAAGUCAAAUAUAUCUUCCCUUCCUUUUUAAUUUUGUUUUUCCCAAAGGAUUUGCAUCUUCUUUUUUUUUCUUUUUCCAUAUGUAUUAUUAUUAUUAUUUCGCCCCAUCUUUUGGGUUGAUGUGGUGGAUGAUGAUGAGGGCGAAGGACGGUACUUAAAAAGUAUAUAUAAUUAUAAAUGGUUUAAUUCAGGCAGUGGUUUAUUCAAUCAAUUAUUUUCUGGAGUUUGCAAUUCUGAUUUAUGUCGAUGAAAGCAUUGCAUUUGAAAAUUGUAACUCGACGUAGCCAAUUUUUUGAAAAAUUGCUUUAUAAUUUGAAUAAAAUAUAAUUAUUUGGGAAGUCGGCAUUCAAGUUGAUUUGCCCUACAUGUAAUUUUUACUUUAUUUGUUUAUUUUUAUGCAGCUUCAACAUUUCGAAGGAAGUAACUGAGGGGAAUGCUGCCGUAUGCCUGCAACGAAGCAUGCCAAAAAAUAAAAAGAGAAAAUAUGACUGGCUGCCUAAAUUUCCAAUACAAAGGGCUUGCCAUCGAGCAACAUUUUUCCCCAUUAACAUCGUGGCAUGUGCUCUACCUCUACGCACUUUUAAUCAUCACCAGUAUGAUUGCUCCUCUACCAGACAUUUGAACGUGACAAUAUAUAUUCUCUGUAGUAUCUUGUCAUGCUAGAAAAUUCUUGUUUAUGAUAAUACAAUGUACCACCCACUACACUGAUAUGGGAUGGGCUCACAUACAAGACAAUCUGAAAUUUCUGCAUUCUUUAAUUUCAGUGCAGAAAGAUAGCCUACUGAGAUCAGAGAUAGUUUCCUGUUGAUUAUAUACAUUUUCUUGAUUCCAUCCGACCUCUGACCUCUCCCAUAACUUACAAAAAACCAAAGAAAAGUAGUGGUUAAAGAUAUGAGGGAGGUUUGAACUCAUAACUUCCUCCACCAUGGAGAGAUGUAGCCGUAGAUUUGCUACUGUCGAUUAGAAAGAAAAAUAAGCAUUUUGUGGUAAAUAUGCAGCUGCUUUUAAACCAAGAAAUGUUCUAGAUCUCACUCUAUGUCGUGCAAGAAAAUGCUCUCAACGUAUACAUAAACAUCAAACAACAUUAGGCGAUACAAAACAAUCCACACAUGAAUAACUAUAGCAAUAUCACAAAUGAGUUGCAAACUUCUGUACAAUGUGAUAGCUACCAAAUCAUCUCAAUAUCACUCCUGUUCGCCAAGCCACUUGAAAAUGGUAGGCGAUUAAGUAGCAAUAGCAUAGUCAUAAACACUUAUGCUACAGAAAUCCUAAAUUAAUUAGCAGCUUCUGUAUUGCUUUUCGACCCCAUAGAAUGUCACUUUGCCAAACACCAUUUUCGGUUGGUUCUGAUUCUUGCUGUUUUCCAUCAUCAGCUAGUGGAUUUUGCUCAAGUUCAUUGUGAAGCUGCCCCUGAUCACUGAACACCUCUACUUUUUCUGUUUGAUGAAGAUCAUCAUCAAUUUCAUGCUUCUGAAUAUUAUUAGGCCUCAGUUAAUAGAUAAGAAGGCUAACAAAAGUGAUUGAAAAUAGAGGAUGCUAUGAACUGUUAUCAGCAGCAAAUGCAGAACAGAAUUGCUAAAUGUGAAACUUUCGUCUCUCACAUUAUGUGUUUUUCUAACAGACGAUUCAUUUAGUGGCAAAAAUGUCAAAUCUAAUAGGUUCUAGUAGUAGUCUAUAAUUGUAUAAUGGGACAUGUAUAAUCCGAUCAUAGGCAAUGACAUAUAAUUGCAAGUGCACAAGUUCUUUGAUUACUGACCAUAAGAAAGGGGAAAUACAAGCCUAUGAUCUUCUAAAGUCACUAAGAGUGAUAUUUUUUAUUUAUUUCAUUUCAGAAAAUCUCAUGUUCUAUAAAGCAUUAAUUUCAAAAGGAUACAGGCUAAGCUGGAUUCUGUGGCCUGAAUCUCCCAGAACUGGAGAAAUUUUUGGGAUAGUGCAGACAAACACCAAGUAAAAGUAGUGAAAGAAAUUAAAGAGAAAAUGAAAAUAAACAAGAAACAGAGCAUCACUACUCAUCAAGCAGUUACCUCUGGCAAAUUGUGAUUCUUAACUUCAUCGUUAACUCCAACCGAGGCAUCAAAGGCACUGUUUGUUUCACCUUCAUUAACUCCAACUGAGGCAUCAAAGGCACUGCUUAUUUCAACUUCAUCAUGAGUUACUGGGUCACUUGAAAACACUGAUAAUGGAGUCAAUCCAGGUACCAGAACAGGAUCUCCUUCAUGAGAAACCGGAUUUCCUUCGACAUUAAUGGUUGCUAAAUUCAUGUCAGUUGGAGUUCUUCCACUAUUUCCGACAAUCUCCUCUGCUAUCAUUGCUUCCUUGUUUGAAUUGGCCUCAUUCUCAUCCUUCUCAUGAUUGAUUCCCUUUCCACUUGGCAUUUGGAGAAUUGCACUUACAUCAGGAUCUUCCUUUGUGUGCGUGAUAUUAUCUGCUACAAUAACCAGGGGCUCCUUUUCUGGAGGAGGAAUCUCGUCAGCAAUAAUUGGUUUAUCAGGAGUCGAUGGUAAUGAUUCCUUUGCUGGGUAAGAAUUAACAUCGGAGAUCAAUUCCUCAUUUUCGUGAGUCAAGUUCUCGGAAAAAACCACAAUUUCUGAGUUAGUAGACAAUUCGUCAGCAACAAUCAACAUUUCUGAAUUAACAGUAGGCUCCCCUUUUUUAUUAGCCAUCGAUUCUUCCUCUGUUAAUUGCUGAAGCGUAGCAUCUUCCCAAUCUUCGGAAACAACAAUUGUAUUCUUAGUUUCCCAGGUUUUGAAAAUUCGAUCAGGUCCUGGUUGCCACAAAAUCUUCCCAUUGAUUUCUUUUAGUAUAAACUUGAACUGGAUGGAUUUUCCAAUGGGUAUAUCCAGCUCAAGAGUCCAAACAUGCCCGUCUGACCAGUUCAAUGGUAUGGCAUUUUCAGGAUCCCACAUGCCGAACAUUUGAUCAUCCCCUACUAGAGCAAAUUGCUCACCAAAGGAACACUUUUUCUUUAGGUGGAAUUUAACAUGAACGGUCUUUGAUUGGU
RNAcentral lists this unclassified non-coding RNA (5073 nucleotides) under Hevea brasiliensis (rubber tree). Lineage: Eukaryota; Viridiplantae; Streptophyta; Magnoliopsida; Malpighiales; Euphorbiaceae. The record is from RNAcentral.